RNAcentral lists this long non-coding RNA (1139 nucleotides) under Pan troglodytes (chimpanzee). RNAcentral's name for it is "long non-coding RNA NONPTRT011716". Lineage: Eukaryota; Metazoa; Chordata; Mammalia; Primates; Hominidae. The record is from RNAcentral.
AUACGCCUGCCUGGGCCACUUCUGCCCAAUCAGAGAAGGGAGCCACCAGACACUGGUGAAGGCCCCCGGAAGUGACGCCUUCUCUUCCCUGGAGCCCCUGCCUGGACCAGGGUCCACUCCUCCACCCACACACACCACGGAGAAGAUUUGGAUAGGGGCAUCCAUCUUUUCCUGGACAUGGGCAACCUGGGACCUGGAGGGGGACAGCAGCAGAAGUUUUUUUCCAGGAGGAAUCUGGCAGGACAUUUGUGUUGCUGGGGAAGAAGCACAGAGGAAAGACAGCUGCUGGACCUCCCCCGCAAAUACCUCCCUGCUGGCCCCCCUUUUCCUUUGGCCCUGGCUCUAGCUCCUUUGCUUUCUUCCCAGUCCCAGUCUCCCCACAGUCUCUGUCCUCAGGGGCUUCCUGGCCUGACCUUGAUCCCAUCAUCCCCCUGUCCCCCAGAACUUCCUCAGGCUCUCUCCUGUUCCUCCUCCCCAAGGAUGGGCAUGUCUGCUGAGAAGUGUGGCCUAGAUCCUGGAAUUUUCCCGUCCAGCCAGACGAGAUGUCUCCCAAGAUUAGGAAGGAGGGUGCUGGGAUAGCUGGGAGGAUAGUGGGUGUGUGUGGGAGGGAGAGACAGGAGACAGGGAGGCAGGCAUGACCAGGGAACCAAGAGAAAGGAGGCUGGGAGUGGGCUGGAGAGGCAGAGGGUCCCUUGGGUGAAGGAAGGGGGUGAGAAAGCAAGAGGGGACUGUCGAAUGCGCCUGAGGAUAAGUUACAAUGAGAGGGAGAUACUGUCACUCCACAGAAGGGGGAAUGCUGCCGGUUUCUGGCUAGGUCCCUGUCCUGGGUAACACAAGAAUGAGGAGCGACCUCAGAGAGAAGGUAGGGAGGCAGGUUAGGCAGUGAGAGAGGGUGGUGAGGGUUUGGGGGGCGCUGUGGGCCCAGGCAGGGGGAGAUCGGCUGAUGGGCCUUUCCUGUACGUUGUCAUCUUUAAAGACAAGUCUUCAUCCUUCGGGCGGAACCGGGUCCUCGCUCACAGAGCGGUCCAGGCCUCAGGCCUAGCCUCUGCCCCUCCCUAGCCUGAGGCUCCCUUCCUGGGCUGGACACCGACCUCCUGGUCCAGCGGCCCUGUGGCCGCCAGCAGCGGGGGGCUCCGGGC